Molecule: microRNA, 21 nt
Filed under: Glycine max (soybean)
Lineage: Eukaryota; Viridiplantae; Streptophyta; Magnoliopsida; Fabales; Fabaceae
Description: gma-miR156s
Gene: gma-miR156q
Source: miRBase by way of RNAcentral
UGACAGAAGAGAGUGAGCACU